GUAACUGUGACGUCUGUAUCGGUCAGCUUAUAACUCGAUGUCGGUCAAGAUCAACGCCAUUUGACACCACGUCGCGACGGUCAGUGCGCGUUUUUGUCCUUUCCGCGUGCGAACGCGCGUCUUACAGCGUUUUUUACACGCCGCGCAUCGCGUAGUUUAACUUUUAACUUGAAGAAAUCAACACGCACGCAUGAAAUGGCUUAUGUGAUCAAAUUGUUGUGUGUUUGUUUGUGUGUUAGUGCGGUCACGUGUCAGUUCGGUUUCUUCCCUCAAAGGGAAGAUCGCCGGUAUUCAACCCCCUUCCAAUAUGGACUCAACCUGCUCAACCCCAGAAGGAUCACAAAUAGACUCACAGGACUUCUCCAUGUGAUGCCCGAGAACGAAAAUACCAACCCUGCAUACGUAUACCCAUUCCGAAGACCUGGGAUCUCCACUGAGAACCAAAACACAAACAGUUAUCCAUACCAGAAUGGCCAAAACUACAACCAAGGAAACUAUGGAUACCAAAACCAGUACCCAGGCUAUGGGUACAAUAACCAAGGGUAUAACCCAAAUUAUGGAUACAACCAAAAUGGUGGAAAUCCUGUAGUAUUCCCCACAUCUCCUCCAGAUGGCACUGCUGUUAAUUUUGUAAAUAAUAAUGGCGAAUACACGGAAUCGAAUCCUGACAUUAACAAUUCUGGUACAGCAGUAAACUUUGUGAACAAUAAUGACGGGCAGUACACUGAAUCUAACCCUUCAAACUAUUAUCCUGGCCAAUUUAAAGAUCCUGCAGGCAAUGGCAAUUACCAGAACAAUAACGGAGAUAAUGAGCAAGAAGGAAAAGACAACGUGGAUAUAAACUUGCCCACAGGAGGGGCGGAGAGUAAUACACCAAAUGCAUCACCGGCUGAAAUUCCUAAUAUUCCACCUCCAGGAAUUCCAAUUGCUUCACCAGCUGAAAUUCCCAAUGUUCCAUCUCCAGGAAUCCCAAGUUCCUCACCUGCUGAAAUUCCCACUAAUCCUCCAGCGGGGAUCCCAAAUAAUUCGCCUGCUGAAAUUCCUAAUGUUCCUCCACCUGGAAUCCCGAAUUCGCCAGCUGAGAUUCCAAGCGUGCCACCUGCUGGAAUCCCAAAUAAACCACCUGCUGAAAUUCCAAAUUUACCGCCAGCUGGAAUCCCGAAUGCCCUCUCAACGAAAGCCCCGGCAUCAUACACAGAACUGCCAGUUCUGACACCAGUUCCCGAUACGGAGAAACGUAAUAACUUCAACUUUGGAUCGGCGGGAUUAUUCAAGGAGUCCUGCGAAACGGUAGACCAGCAGAUCGGCAGCUGCAUCUCAAUCCUGCAGUGCGCGCCGUACCUACAGCUGCUCAAGGAGUCCAGGACCAACCCUCAGGCUGUGCAGGUGCUGAGGAAGUCCCAAUGCGGGUUCGAAGGCAAUUAUCCUAAGGUAUGCUGCCCCAGGCCUGGGAUCCCAGACGCGCCGCCCACGGUUCCACCAACCACCACCACCACCACCACCACAGUAGCUCCUCCAGUCUCCAACGAACCCUCCAACGUCAACCCUGAGGACCUACUGGGGUCCUUCCCCGAGCCCCCCGUGUGUGGGUCCAGCAAUGCCACCUUCAGCCGAGUGGUGGGAGGAAUCCCUGCUAAGCUUGGCGACUUCCCCUGGAUGGCGCUCCUGGGCUACAAGCGAGGAGUAAACACGCGGUGGCUGUGUGGCGGCUCGCUCAUCAGCUCGAAGCACGUCCUGACUGCCGCCCACUGCAUCCAUGGACACGAAAUUGAUCUGUACCUAGUAAGGCUAGGAGAGCUGGACAUCGAGAGGGAAGACGACGGAGCGACUCCAGUGGACGUGCUCCUGAAGUACAAGAUCAAGCACGAGGACUACAACCCUCAGGCCUUCACCAAUGACAUAGGGAUCUUGGUCAUGGACAGAGAUGUUGGCUUCACUGAUCUGAUCAAGCCCAUCUGCAUCCCCAAAGACAGCGAGCUGAGAGCGAGAAGUUUUGAGAACUACACCCCCAUCAUCGCCGGUUGGGGAGACACUGAGUUCCGUGGUCCAUCGGCGUCCCACCUCCAAGUAUUACAACUGCCGGUGGUCAGCAACGACUUCUGUGCGCAGGCCUACGUCAACUACAAGAACCAGCGCAUCGAUGAGAGGGUCCUAUGCGCCGGGUACAAGAAGGGAGGCAAGGACGCCUGCCAGGGGGACAGUGGGGGACCGCUGAUGCAGCCGAUUUGGAACAACCAAGACUACACGACGCACUUCUACCAGAUAGGCGUGGUGUCCUUCGGCCGCAAGUGCGCGGAGGCGGGCUUCCCUGGAGUCUACACGCGCGUCACACACUUCGUGCCCUGGCUCGAGCAGAAGAUCCUCGGCGCUUGAGGUCGCCGUGGCCUCGGCAGCGAUAUCGUGGUCUGGUCGUGAUGGGUCUGGUUUGGCUGGUUUCUGGUCGUGACUUGACCGUCUGGUCAUGACUUGACAAUCUAGUAAUGACUUGAUUUUCUGGUCGUGACUUGAAUGUCUAUAAUCUGGUCCGUGAGCACGUAGAAUUUUGUCCAAUGAC
Molecule: RNA transcript, 2554 nt
Organism: Ostrinia furnacalis (Asian corn borer)
Lineage: Eukaryota; Metazoa; Arthropoda; Insecta; Lepidoptera; Crambidae
Gene name: venom protease-like
Exons: 12
Source: RefSeq, a predicted model, not a curated record